RNAcentral lists this ribosomal RNA (443 nucleotides) under uncultured bacterium. RNAcentral's name for it is "partial 16S ribosomal RNA". It matches the Rfam family "Bacterial small subunit ribosomal RNA", at positions 338 to 795 of the family's 1533-position model. The record is from RNAcentral.
CCUACGGGUGGCAGCAGUGAGGAAUAUUGGGCAAUGGGCGCAAGCCUGACCCAGCAACGCCGCGUGAAGGAAGAAGGCUUUCGGGUUGUAAACUUCUUUUCUCAGGGACGAAGCAAGUGACGGUACCUGAGGAAUAAGCCACGGCUAACUACGUGCCAGCAGCCGCGGUAAUACGUAGGUGGCAAGCGUUAUCCGGAUUUACUGGGUGUAAAGGGCGUGUAGGCGGGACUGCAAGUCAGAUGUGAAAACCACGGGCUCAACCUGUGGACUGCAUUUGAAACUGUAGUUCUUGAGUACUGGAGAGGCAGACGGAAGUCCUGGUGUAGCAGUGAAAUGCGUAGAUAUUAGGAGGAACACCAGUGGCGAAGGCGAUCUGCUGGACAGCAACUGACGCUGAGGCGCGAAAGCGUGGGGAGCAAACAGGAUUAGAUACCCGGGUAGUC